RNAcentral lists this ribosomal RNA (164 nucleotides) under uncultured bacterium. RNAcentral's name for it is "partial 16S ribosomal RNA". It matches the Rfam family "Bacterial small subunit ribosomal RNA", at positions 355 to 511 of the family's 1533-position model. The record is from RNAcentral.
UAGGGAAUCUUCCACAAUGGGCGAAAGCCUGAUGGAGCAACGCCGCGUGUGUGAUGAAGGGUUUCGGCUCGUAAAACACUGUUGUAAGAGAAGAAUGACAUUGAGAGUAACUGUUCAAUGUGUGACGGUAUCUUACCAGAAAGGAACGGCUAAAUGCGUGUCAG